GGGUCAGUAGGUUGGUCGUGCCACCGGUACGUACUGGUCUCACUGAUUCCUCCUUCCUGAAGAACCGUAAUGCCAUUAAUUUGGUGUUGCGGGGAAACAGGACUGUUACUUUGAAAAAAUUAGAGUGUUUAAAGCAAGCUAACGCUUGAAUACAUUAGCAUGGAAUAAUGAAAUAGGACGUUCGAUCCUACGUUGUUGGUUUCUAGGAUUGAGGUA
RNAcentral lists this ribosomal RNA (216 nucleotides) under Glomeromycotina sp. Its description in RNAcentral is "partial small subunit ribosomal RNA". The stretch from base 40 to 216 matches the Rfam family "Eukaryotic small subunit ribosomal RNA", at positions 686 to 864 of the family's 1831-position model. Lineage: Eukaryota; Fungi; Glomeromycota. The record is from RNAcentral.